Molecule: small RNA, 931 nt
Filed under: Malbranchea ostraviensis
Lineage: Eukaryota; Fungi; Ascomycota; Eurotiomycetes; Onygenales; Malbrancheaceae
Description: eukaryotic LSU rRNA
Rfam family: Eukaryotic large subunit ribosomal RNA (bases 469-931)
Source: RNAcentral
GCGCCCCCGGGCGCCGGCGAACCCCACCCGUGACUACUACACCACACGUUGCUUUGGCGGGCCCGCCGCUGGCCGCCGGGGAUCUCCCUGGCCCGCGCCCGCCAAAGAUACACUGAACCCUCUGUGAAAUUGGACGUCUGAGUUGAUGAUCAAUCAUUAAAACUUUCAACAAUGGAUCUCUUGGUUCCGGCAUCGAUGAAGAACGCAGCGAAAUGCGAUAAGUAAUGUGAAUUGCAGAAUUCCGUGAAUCAUCGAAUCUUUGAACGCACAUUGCGCCCUCUGGUAUUCCGGAGGGCAUGCCUGUCCGAGCGUCAUUGCAACCCUCAAGCGCGGCUUGUGUGUUGGGCUUCGUCCCCCGAGGACGGGUCCGAAAGGCAGUGGCGGCGUCCGUUUCGGUGCCCGAGCGUAUGGGAACUCUUGUCCCGCUUGGUGGCCCGGCGGCGCUGGUCAAAACCAAUUUUUACCGGUUGACCUCGGAUCAGGUAGGGAUACCCGCUGAACUUAAGCAUAUCAAUAAGCGGAGGAAAAGAAACCAACAGGGAUUGCCCCAGUAACGGCGAGUGAAGCGGCAAAAGCUCAAAUUUGAAAUCUGGCUCCUUCGGGGCCCGAGUUGUAAUUUGAAGAGGAUGCUUUGGGUGCGUCCGCGGCGUAAGUCCCUUGGAACAGGGCGUCAUAGAGGGUGAGAAUCCCGUCUUGAGUCGCCGGCGCGCGCCCGUUUAAAGCUCCUUCGACGAGUCGAGUUGUUUGGGAAUGCAGCUCUAAGUGGGUUGGUAAAUUUCAUCUAAAGCUAAAUAUUGGCCGGAGACCGAUAGCGAACAAGUAGAGUGAUCGAAAGGUUAAAAGCACCUUGAAAAGGGAGUUAAAUAGCACGUGAAAUUGUUGAAAAGGGAAGCGCUUGCAGCCAGACUCGAGCGCGGAGGCUCAGCGGGGU